Humulus lupulus (European hop) is the source of this 600-nucleotide long non-coding RNA. RefSeq lists it as uncharacterized. The record is from RefSeq and is a predicted model, not a curated record. The transcript is spliced from 3 exons. Lineage: Eukaryota; Viridiplantae; Streptophyta; Magnoliopsida; Rosales; Cannabaceae.
UUUGUAGAUUGUAUGGUUAACCUCAUCUCUUUCUUGGCAGGUACCUCUCUAUUAUGAUGGGAUUGGGGGCAUACGUUUGUCAUUAAAACUUUCUGACUCUAGCCAAACACCUAUAGAGAUUGGAUUGGAUCUGGAGAAAUUGUUGCAGAAGGUUAUUUUAUUUCAAGUGACCCAAAGGAUGAGGUUCACCAUGUUCCUCUUGGGCCUAGUGCUAUGAAAGUGGGGAUAGAUCUUGUGAGAAAGAAUGAUGCAUUUCUGUGGAGGCCUUCAACAGUUAUGUCUACUAUAGAAGAUGCUAUAGGUAGUAUAAUUGCAUGGCCAGCUGAUAAAGUUAUAAUUAGCUAAGCAAAUGGACUCACAACAAAGACAAGUGCACAAAGGAUGAUGAAUUGAAGGAUGGAGCAAGUUUCGUUUACUUUUGUGUAUCUUGUAAUGUUUCUAUUUUUCAUUUUUGAAGUAAAAAUUGUUCAAGAUUAUAAAACUUUAUUAUGUUAUGCUUUCAAACUUAAGUUAGAACUAAGAUCUCAUGAAGUAGACACAUUCAUGGUUUGAAUUAGUUAUUGUUUAAUGUAAUACUUAUGGUUUAUCAAUCUAUUGAGA